RNAcentral lists this ribosomal RNA (960 nucleotides) under Lophiostoma compressum. RNAcentral's name for it is "partial large subunit ribosomal RNA". It matches the Rfam family "Eukaryotic large subunit ribosomal RNA", at positions 1 to 977 of the family's 3401-position model. Lineage: Eukaryota; Fungi; Ascomycota; Dothideomycetes; Pleosporales; Lophiostomataceae. The record is from RNAcentral.
AUUGACCUCGGAUCAGGUAGGGAUACCCGCUGAACUUAAGCAUAUCAAUAAGCGGAGGAAAAGAAACCAACAGGGAUUGCCCUAGUAACGGCGAGUGAAGCGGCAACAGCUCAAAUUUGAAAUCUGGCUCCUUUGGGGUCCGAGUUGUAAUUUGUAGAGGGUGCUUUGGCGUUGGUUGUGGUCUAAGUUCCUUGGAACAGGACGUCACAGAGGGUGAGAAUCCCGUACGUGGCCGCCAGCCUCCGCCGUGUAAAGCCCCUUCGAUGAGUCGAGUUGUUUGGGAAUGCAGCUCUAAAUGGGAGGUAAAUUUCUUCUAAAGCUAAAUAUUUGCCAGAGACCGAUAGCGCACAAGUAGAGUGAUCGAAAGAUGAAAAGCACUUUGGAAAGAGAGUCAAAAAGCACGUGAAAUUGUUGAAAGGGAAGCGCUUGCAGCUAGACGUGCCUUGGGUUGAUCAGCCGGACUUUUGCCCGGUGCACUCUUCCUUUGGCAGGCCAGCAUCAGUUUCGGCGGCUGGAUAAAGGUCUGUUAAACGUGACUUCCUUCGGGGAGAGCUUAUAGGGCAGACGACAUGCAGCCAGCCUGAACUGAGGUCCGCGCAUCUGCUAGGAUGCUGGCGUAAUAGCUGUAAGCGGCCCGUCUUGAAACACGGACCAAGGAGUCUAACAUCUAUGCGAGUGUUUGGGUGUCAAGCCCGAGCGCGUAAUGAAAGUAAACGGAGGUGGGAACCUUUUAGGUGCACCAUCGACCGAUCCUGAUGUCUUCGGAUGGAUUUGAGUAAGAGCAUAGCUGUUGGGACCCGAAAGAUGGUGAACUAUGCCUGAAUAGGGUGAAGCCAGAGGAAACUCUGGUGGAGGCUCGCAGCGGUUCUGACGUGCAAAUCGAUCGUCAAAUUUGGGCAUAGGGGCGAAAGACUAAUCGAACUAUCUAGUAGCUGGUUCCUGCCGAAGUUUCCCCUCAGG